AUGGCAAGAAAUGAUUUCGGAUUUGGUUCUUUGAUCAUAGAUAUCAAGCUUGAUGGUUCAAACUACAGGGAAUGGGCAUUUUCUGCCCAGACUGUCUUGAGGACGGCUGGUUUUGUUUCUCAUCUGACAGAUGAUCCACCUAGUCCAAAUGAUGAUGCAGCAAGGAAGUCUUGGCAAAAGAUCAAUGAUCGUGUGAUGGGAGUUUUAAUUCUGGGUGUUGAACCCUCACUCCGAAUGAGUCUUGAGCAUCACACUUCAGCUAAAGAGAUAUGGAAGUACUUUGAGCAGCACUACCUUCAGCCCAGCAGUGCACUUCAUUUCUCCUUGUUGCAGAAUUUACACAACACUCGGCAGCCAGAAGACAUGUCCAUAGAAGAGUACUAUGGAGCUUUCACUCGCAUCACUGGGCAGCUAGGUUCCAUGGUUCCAAAGGGUAAUUCUGGUUGUGAGUCAUGUGCGGCAAAGGAAAAGUAUGACCAUUAG
Molecule: ribosomal RNA, 483 nt
Filed under: Triticum aestivum (bread wheat)
Lineage: Eukaryota; Viridiplantae; Streptophyta; Magnoliopsida; Poales; Poaceae
Description: partial small subunit ribosomal RNA
Source: RNAcentral